CGCUCGGCUCCCAACCUUCACGCUUUCCUUCUGUUCCCCUUCCACACCUUGUGAUCUCUCUUGACACAAGGAAACAUUUCUGUCACCUUCAUUCCCUUCCUCAUGUAGAAAGCAAAACUAAUGUCUCCGGUACUAUGAAAAUACAUUGGUGUGCAGGAAGGAAAGGCCAAGGGAGGUAAUGCAGCACCACACGUGCUCGUACAGGCUGCCUUACAUUGUCUACAUUUUCUUCACCAGCUCCUUGGACUUUGAGGAAUUCCUUAUUCCCCCCGGAUCAAGAAAAAAAACCCGUUCACCAAGGAACAGCAAUCGCACUGAAGUGAAAGGAACUGUUGAGCAAUCAAAUGGUGUGAGCUUAGCACUUCUCUAGUGUGCUAAUUCUCCACUCAUCAAAGCUGACAACUAUAAAAGCGUGCUGGAAUUAAUAGUAAAUGCAGAGUUCCCCUCGCCCAUGCUCUUCUGAUGUCUGAGAAAGCAGAUACACACCAGUGUGUCACCCACUUGCCGCUCACAUGAUCAAGAUUCUUUCUCAUUUCCCACAUGCAGUUAUUUAAAUAAAUGGGGGGGGUUUGGGUUUUUGCUUAUUAUUUUUUUAAAGGGAGGGAGAGUAUUUGGCAGCCUCCCCCAAGCUUGCUCAAGACUUCUUAGAAACCAAAGCAAAAUUGAACUGAGUGUUAAAGCUGACAGGAGAUGGUAGAAGAACUACUGGAAUUUUGAGCAGAAUCUAAGAGGGGAAGGGGAGCUGAGAAAGAUCACUGGAUUUUCAUACGUGCAUCACAGGAAACGCAUCAGAAAAUGACAGGGAACCCUUAGCAUUCCCGCCCCGUUGUGGAUAUUCGCGGAUGGCACCAAAGGCAGGCAAUUUGACAGCCGUGGGAACAGGUAAUCUGCACUGGGAAACAAAAAUGCAGAACCAGAAACACCCUCUGGGACAGACCAUUUUUAUCAUGGCCCCAAAAGGACACUGCAAAUAGAAAACACAACUGGUGAUCCCUAAAGUUGAAAUAAAACACUUUCCGAUAUUACACCUACAUAGUUGACUUCACAGCAUUUUCAUUCUUGAAAUAUUUUCAUUAAUCCCGAUUAUGUGCUGAAAAAAAAGAUAAAUGGGCUGAAAAACAAGGAAAAGUUAAUCAAAGAGAAAUUAAGACAGCAAUGUUUUGUUUCUCAAGCCCUACCCUUGCACCUUGUGCACUUUCCUACUGACCCAUCUUCAGCCUUAAAGAUGAAAAUAAAUAGAAUAUCAUACUGCAUGGGUGCAAAAUGCACAUCUCAGAAUAACAAACAAACCAUUAGUUAUUAGUUUCCAGUAGCCAGAUGAGUGUUGAAGUAUGAUGAGAUAUUCGAUGUGCUGAGAAGUGAUUUAGAUUUUGGGUACAUGUAGUGUUAAAAGAAAAAAAAAAUCCAAAUAUUAAAUGCAUACAAGGAAUUAGGCCAGCAGAGGUAGCUGUUAGCACAACAAAAAUCAACAACUGUAAUUUUUUUUUAGUAUGUAUUCUAAAUUCAGACUGCAGUAUUGGAAAUUCAGUUAGAUUUAAUUUGUUCCUCCUUUACUAUUUUACUCUAAUUUUAGUUGUUUGGGUUAGCCCAUUUCCAAUGGUAAUUAUCUGUUUCUAGCUCCUAUGUACCACUUAUUUUCUAUCCUUCCCAUUUUUAUUUUGUCAGUCUGGGGUUCAGAAAGGAUGAGUCACCUCCAAAUAAUCCCAGGGUUGGCUUGAAAAAAAAAUCAGAUUUAUCAAUAAGAAUUUUUCAUAACUAUUUCAAAUGUCAUUUUGACCUUCUAGAGCUCCAAAUUUUGACUUGAUUUCUGAAAGACAGGGUUAUAAAACUUUGAAAUGCAGGUAAGCUUAUGUAACUUUCAAAUCAAGAUGUGCAUUAAGUGUUUACGGGAAAUAAAGCUGUUUAGAGCAGGAAAAUAUCUUGGUCUGAUGUGGUUUCUGUAUAGAUCCCUCUGGGGAACCUACCAGGGCAGAGAACUUUCAGUUUCCAUGAGUACCUUAAUAAACUUGAAAAGACUUUGUGGGUCUAAAAAUGUUUCUACACUACAGGAACACUUUAGUCGUAGUGUCGUAGUGUUAGUGAUUAGUUAGUUUAUGUCGUAGUGUUAGUGAUUUAUAUGUUUGGCAGCCAUUACACUCCAAAUGAACACUCCAAAUGCUGGACAGCAUAGCUUCCUGCUUCUGUUUCCAUAACUUCUGUUUCCAUUCCCUUUGGGUAUGCUGAGAGCAGGGCUGGAGCCCCAUGGCAUCCUUGUCAUUAUCUAAGGCUCCCUGCAGUCUGACUGGGCAGCCAGUCUGACAGAGUGGGCAGAAUGCAGUUGCCUGUACACAAAAUUUUGAGAAGAUACUCCCAGAUUCUGCAGGUUCUACAGGCACUCCACUUUAUCUUCAAUUUCUUGGAAUUUGUCUGGCUUCCAUCCCAUACUCCAAGGACUGUUUAUGCCUUUCUCAUUUCAUGUUUAUGUGAAAUGCACAAACAGACCUUGGGACAAGGCCUGAAAUGCAGGUCUAAGUCUAAGAUCAGUACCUCCUUUGCUGGUCUUUGUGCAAGAUAUAUUCUCUGCAAAUGGCAAAGCUUUCUAUUUCCCAUGAGAAAGAAAACUCAGAACUCUACAGAAGCCAGAAUACUCCUGCCGUAAGAUCUUUGUUAUUCAUAAUCUCUUGCAACUGUAGGACACUGUAGCUCACAUCCAUUGUUUUUAGCAUCUCUUGUGUUUCCUCCCACUUGCACUCCCCAAGUAUCCAUAUGCUGACUGCAGACAAGUGGACACUGUCACAAUGCUUUGAACUUUUUAGGGCCCUUGUGGCAGCACACGAUACCAGUACUGCCUUUCAGUGGUAAAACCCAGGAAAAUAAUCCCUCAGGCAAAAUUCUUUAUUUCAUGAUUCUGUGUGUCUGUCCAUGGAUCCGAGGAGAGUCUUUAUAGAGGAAGUCCAUAUCACAGAGUCAAUUUGCUGCUGAAAUCUCCAAAUCCUGUUCCUUUCUCCAUCCCCCAAAAUGGUCAAACACAAAUUUCAACUGACAGUAGCAUACACGAGACCAACUUCUAUUUAGUUUCCAAAUGAAACCUAUGAAUCACUCAAAAUCCUCACUUCUAGUGUUGUUUCUGAGAAUUGUGAAGAACAAACUCUGAAGAACAUAUAAAUAUUUUUCUUAAAAUUAGUUUCAACUGGACAUAAAUACUACGAAAAAAUGUCAGAAUUUCAUCCAUAAGGAUGCACAUUUUUUUAAAAAUAAUCUUAAAUACAAAAAGGAACUUGCCCUUGAGCUACAAUUAUCUUCCUUGCAGGGAAUCACAUGGACUUAGAGGAUCUAGAGCCAGUAGUGAACUAAAAAGAAAUUCACUGUGCAGACAUAGUGGCAUGCCUUGAAUGCAAUAUCUCAGUUAGGCUGACAGGGUGUAGCCUUCUAGAAACACAGAUGUAUUUACAUGUUAAUGAAAAAGCAAAAAUCAAAGGCAUUUCAUUUACAUAAGGUUUUAUUAUAUUUUCCCCUCAGCUGGUACUCCAUUACUACAGCCUUAGCAGAGUUUUGCUUCCUUAGUAGACAGGUUUUCAACUGACUGUCUCUGACUGAAAACAUCUAGGCUAGGUCAGAAUUUAGACCCAGCCUUUCAUUAAUACAGUCAGAUACAAAGGACCAGUCAAAAUCCUGGCCACCUGGAGGACUGCAAAGGAACCAAAAACAAUCCAAGAGGAUUUUCAUAAUUUUCUGUGUUUGAAUAGAGAGCCUUUCAUGUGCAUUGAUCCCUAAAUAGUUGAGCAAUUACACCAUACAUUCAAGACAUGGAUACAUUCUACAUUUCAAGCUCUAAU
Long non-coding RNA from Cyanistes caeruleus (blue tit), 3815 nucleotides. RefSeq lists it as uncharacterized. NCBI's taxonomy places the organism in Eukaryota, Metazoa, Chordata, Aves, Passeriformes, Paridae. The record is from RefSeq and is a predicted model, not a curated record.